This 450-nucleotide ribosomal RNA is filed under the name uncultured bacterium. RNAcentral's name for it is "partial 16S ribosomal RNA". It matches the Rfam family "Bacterial small subunit ribosomal RNA", at positions 354 to 796 of the family's 1533-position model. The record is from RNAcentral.
GUGGGGAAUUUUGGACAAUGGGCGCAAGCCUGAUCCAGCCAUGCCGCGUGCAGGAUGAAGGCCUUCGGGUUGUAAACUGCUUUUGUACGGAACGAAAAGACUCUGGUUAAUACCUGGGGUCCAUGACGGUACCGUAAGAAUAAGCACCGGCUAACUACGUGCCAGCAGCCGCGGUAAUACGUAGGGUGCGAGCGUUAAUCGGAAUUACUGGGCGUAAAGCGUGCGCAGGCGGUUAUGUAAGACAGAUGUGAAAUCCCCGGGCUCAACCUGGGAACUGCAUUUGUGACUGCAUAGCUAGAGUACGGCAGAGGGGGAUGGAAUUCCGCGUGUAGCAGUGAAAUGCGUAGAUAUGCGGAGGAACACCGAUGGCGAAGGCAAUCCCCUGGGCCUGUACUGACGCUCAUGCACGAAAGCGUGGGGAGCAAACAGGAUUAGAUACCCCUGUAGUCC